UUUAAUACUUAAAUUAAACAUUAAAAAAGAGAAAUUCAGGAAGUCAAUCAUAUGUAGCCUUCACUACCAAGCCCAUCAGGCCACCAAUCUUGUUUGAUUUGUCAAGGUACGUUUGAAUUGUAGAUGGCAAAACAAACAAUGGCCUUCUCUUUACAAGCACUUCGCUAUCAUGCGGAUCAAAAGUUGUAUCAUCUUCAGACCCCUCAAUCUCCCAUUGUACGCACAAGUGCAUAUAAGAAGUACUGCAUGGAUGAAUAUCCAACCGGCACAAAUGCAAGCGUUGCUGUAUUGUCAUAUACUGGACAAUAAAACCAGAUGAAGAAUAUUAUAGCAUCUAUAAUGAGGUAAACAAUGAGCGACAUGCCGUCAAACGAAAAGGUUCAGAGGCUGUCAUCGUUGACUAUGUUGCUAUAGAUGGGAAGAAGCAUCUUCAGAAUCAUCCGCAGAAGGUGAACAUACGCUUUUGACACCCUAGAAACCCUGUCAUUGGUGAUAAUAAGUUUAGCAGCCGACAUGGACAAAAAGGUGAUUGCUCCCAGUUGUGGCCUGAUAUUGAUAUGCCAUUUUCUGAGGUUACGGGAAUGCGUCCAGAUCUUAUCAUCAAUCCACAUGCAUUUCCUUCAAGGAUGGCAAUAGGAAUGCUCUCGGAAUCGAUUGCUGCAAAGAUUGUUAUUAAGAAAAGUGACACAUGUCUGGAAGAAAAGGGAGAACGUCAAAAAUAGAACGUUAAAGAGAAGGUUGCUAUAGCAUUCAAUGUUGUCAGAAAAAACUCUUGAUAUUUCCCAACUCUAACCAUAUAAAGAAUAACCAUUAUAAAUCAGUUAAUCUAAACUUAGUACUUAAUAAAUACUUGCCCAAUCUCGAGAUAA
This is a non-coding RNA of Prunus mume (Japanese apricot), 869 nucleotides long. The record is from RefSeq and is a predicted model, not a curated record. Lineage: Eukaryota; Viridiplantae; Streptophyta; Magnoliopsida; Rosales; Rosaceae.